Molecule: small nucleolar RNA, 111 nt
Organism: Callithrix jacchus (white-tufted-ear marmoset)
Lineage: Eukaryota; Metazoa; Chordata; Mammalia; Primates; Cebidae
Source: Ensembl
AUUCUCAUAAGGACUGUGCAACCUGAGCACGAUGACUGGGUGUUCAUGAGCAUGUGUGAGAUCUGCCACCCCUGAACCUUGUUACGAUGUCAGCACAUUACCCAUCUAACC